CCGCAUCUGUGCAUGCAGCAUAUCAAUAAGCGGAGGAAAAGAAACUAACAAGGAUUCCCCUAGUAACGGCGAGUGAAGCGGGAAGAGCUCAAAUUUGAAAUCUUAAAGGGUUUCCCUUUACGAAUUGUAGUUUAAAGAAGUGUUUUCUGUUGAGGUUUUGGUAAAAGUUCUUUGGAAUAGGACAUCAUAGAGGGUGAGAAUCCCGUAUUUGACCUUUACUUUCAACUUUGUGAUACACUUUCAAAGAGUCGGAUUGUUUGGGAAUGCAGUCCAAAAUGGGUGGUAAAUUUCAUCUAAAGCUAAAUAUUGGCGAGAGACCGAUAGCGAACAAGUACCGUGAGGGAAAGAUGAAAAGAACUUUGAAAAGAGAGUUAAACAGUACGAUGAAAUUGUCAAAAGGGAAGCGUUUGACACCAGUGUUGUUUUUCUGAAAAUCAAUUAAAGAACUGUUUAUGCUAAGUUGUUUAGACUUUAUCAGCUAACUGUUUAGUUUUGAGCUUUUCUUUAAUGCACUUUUCAGUUAACAAGUCAACAUCAAUUUCUUUUGCUGUAAAAAAGCUUGAGGAAGGUGGCUUGAGAUUCGUCUUAAGUGUUUAUAGCCUCUUGCCUAUGCAGUCGGAGAGAUUGAGGUCUGCAGCGUAGAUCCUUCGGGGCUAAAUGCAUUUGUGCUAAGUUAUAGCAUUUUAUAGACAACUUGUUGACUAUGAUUUGUCUUGUAGCUUACUCGCUUAUGUUAUUUUACCUACGCUUAGGAUGUUGAGUCAUCACACAUCUCU
This 776-nucleotide ribosomal RNA is filed under the name uncultured Neocallimastigales. RNAcentral's name for it is "partial large subunit ribosomal RNA". It matches the Rfam family "Eukaryotic large subunit ribosomal RNA", at positions 25 to 614 of the family's 3401-position model. The record is from RNAcentral. Lineage: Eukaryota; Fungi; Neocallimastigomycota; Neocallimastigomycetes; Neocallimastigales.